CGCGUCGGCCGGGCCGCCGCCUCGGGAGCGCCUUCGGGCGGGUGCCGGGGAGGAACGUCCGGACACCGCAGGGCACCGUGCUUCCUAACGGGAAGGCGUCUCGCGCGAGCGGGGCGACGGCAUGUGCAACAGAGAACAGACCAGCCGAUGGCGGGCGCCCGCGUCCGCACAGGUGAUGGGUGAAACGGUGGGGUAAGAGCCCACCGGCGCGGCCGGCGACGGUCGCGGCCAGGCAAACCCCACGGGGUGCAAGGCCACACAGUCCCGCGCUCCGCUCCGGCGGGGCCGCUCGCUGCCCGCGAGUGUCUCGGGACGGGUAGGCCGCUCGAGGCCGCCGGUGACGGCGGUCCCAGAUAGAUGGCGGCACAGGGCGGCGGGUCGACUCCGCCGCCCGGACAGAAUCCGGCGUACAGGCCGACGCGCGUC
This 426-nucleotide RNase P RNA is filed under the name Rhodothermaceae bacterium. Its description in RNAcentral is "RNase P RNA component class A". It matches the Rfam family "Bacterial RNase P class A". From Rfam's summary of the family: Ribonuclease P (RNase P) is a ubiquitous endoribonuclease, found in archaea, bacteria and eukarya as well as chloroplasts and mitochondria. Its best characterised activity is the generation of mature 5'-ends of tRNAs by cleaving the 5'-leader elements of precursor-tRNAs. Cellular RNase Ps are ribonucleoproteins. Lineage: Bacteria; Pseudomonadati; Rhodothermota; Rhodothermia; Rhodothermales; Rhodothermaceae. The record is from RNAcentral.